GGAGUUAGCCGGUGCUUCUUCUGUGAGUGAUGUCCUUCCUGCCGGCUAUUAACCCGCAGGCCUUCUUCCUCACUGAAAGUGCUUUACAACCCGAAGGCCUUCUUCACACACGCGGCAUGGCUGGAUCAGGGUUGCCCCCAUUGUCCAAUAUUCCCCACUGCUGCCUCCCGUAGGAGUCUGGGCCGUGUCUCAGUCCCAGUGUGGCUGAUCAUCCUCUCAGACCAGCUACGGAUCGUCGCCUUGGUGAGCCGUUACCUCACCAACCAGCUAAUCCGACAUAGGCUCAUCCGAUAGCGCGAGGCCCGAAGGUCCCCCGCUUUCCCCCGUAGGGCGUAUGCGGUAUUAGCCUGGGUUUCCCCAGGUUAUCCCCCACUACCGGGCAGAUUCCUAUGCAUUACUCACCCGUCCGCCGCUCGCCACCAGGAGCAAGCUCCCCGUGCUGCCGCUCGACUUGCAUGUGUUAGGCCUGCCGCCAGCGUUCAAUCUGAGCCAGAAUCGAACCCUGA
This 506-nucleotide ribosomal RNA is filed under the name uncultured bacterium. Its description in RNAcentral is "partial 16S ribosomal RNA". The record is from RNAcentral.